AGCAGUACAAAUUGCAUAUGCAAUUGUUAAAAAUGAAAAUUUGGUUGAAGUGAUGAGAAAUCAAAGAAUUUAUGUUGGAAAGAAAAUGAGUACAAUUAAUUUGAAAUAAGAAAAUAGGCAUAUCUAUAAUGAUCAAAAGCUCAAGUAUACAUAAGUUGAGUUUAAGAUAUUUCGUGAAAUCAAGAAGAUCAAAAAGAGAAAAAAAAAAUGUUCCAACAGAAAUAGGGUUACAAUAAUGAAUUUUUAAUAAAUUGUAGUAAGUUGAUAUUUAUUGAAACAAGAGGAGUAAAAUGAAGUUCACCUUAAUAAUAUUAUUUGUUUUUUUUUUGUAAUAAAGGUUUACUUUGAAUUUUAUAAUAUCAACUUGGAAAUUAACUUAUAAUUUUAAAACUUAACGUAAGUACUGGGGAACUUAAAACAUAAAAGUAGUGAACUAAUUAAUUGAAAUAUUUGAACCAAUAAGUGAGAAAGUUUAACCAAAAUAUACGACUAAUCUAAACAAAUAUAAAAUCUAAAAAGUACAAUUGGUAUUUAACCUCAUUUAUUAAAAUCUCACAUAAAUAAUAAGAAUAUUCAAGACAAAACUAGUGAAAUUAUUAGUUGAAACUCAUGUAAUAAUAAGGGAGAAAGUUUAACCCAAAGUAGGGACUCGAGAAAUGAAAUUUACUUGUAAUUUAACCUAAAAUAUUGGUACUUAAUGAAUUUAGUAGGGAUAUUAAAUAUAAAACUCAUGGAUUGAAAAUUUGAAACAUAUAAACCCAUAAUUGAGAAAGACUAACCAAAAUUAGAGACUAAUCCAACCAAAAAUAAAAUCUUAUAAGCAAAUUUAGUUGAAAUGCAUGAACCUGUAUGAGAGAAAAUUUAACUAAAAUCAGGAAAAUUAUCCAACGAGAAAUAAAAUAUAUUUGGGAAUUUAACCCAAAAUAUUAGUAUUUAAAGAUUUUAGUAGGAACACGGAACACUAAACACAAAACAUGAAUUGAAAAGUUGAAACAUAUAAACCUAUACUUGCGAAAGAUUAACCAAAAUUAGGAACCAAUCCAAUCAAAAAUUGAAUUUUACAAAGUAAAAUUGGUAUCCAACCCAAAUUAUUGGAAUCUUAUCUAGAUAGUGGGAAUAUUUAAUACAAAAUCACUGAAACUAUUAGUUGAAAUACAUGAACUUAUAAUGUAGAAAACCAAAAUCAGGAACUAAUUUGAUGAGAAAUGAAAUUUACUUGGAAUUUAACUCAAAAUAUUGAUUUUUAAUGAUUUAAGUUGGAACAAUAAGCACAAAACUAAUGGACUGAAAAGUUGACAUAUAUUAGCCUAUAAUUUAGAAAGUUUAACCAAAAUUUGAUACAAAUCCAACAAAAACUUAAAUGCUACAAAGUAAUUUGUUAUUUAACCUAUAUAGUUAAAAUCUUACCUAGAUAAUGGGAACAAUCAACACAAAACUAGUGAAAUUAUUAGUUGAAACUUGUGUACCAAUAAAAAAGUUUAACCACAAUUAGGAACUCGUCCUACGAGAAUUGAAAUUUACUUGUAAUUUAACCCAAAAUAUUAGUAUGUAACAAAUUUAGUAGGAAUAUUAAGCACAAAAUUAGUGGAUUGAAAAGUUGAAAUAAAUGAACCAAUAAAUGAGAAAGACUAACCAAAAUUAGGGACAUGUGAUAAGUGCAUAUUUUUCAUAUAUUUUGCUAUUAAUUUCUCUAUCUUUUUCUUGUUUUGGUCUUAAAUAUUCUAGUUAUUUUAGUUAAUUUUUAAUUUAGUAAAUUAUAUUUUAUUAUGUUAAUUUUAUGUUAAUUUUUAUAAUUUGUUAUUUUAGGUGCAUUUUGGGAAUAAUUUGUGCUUAAAGGGAUCAAAGCUAGAGAGAGUUGAAGAUUGUUAAUGCUCGCUGCCGUGGUGAUAAAGUCGAAAGGAGAAGAAGAAACAAUUAAAUUGAUUGGCUGAAUUAUUAGCUAAAGGACAUGAGAAAUAUUAGCCAAAUUAAAGAGUGCACGUGAGGGAAGCCAAAGCAAAUUAAAAGGCUUAACCUUUGGCUUAAGAGUUGGAAAAGUCGGUGGGGCCCAUUUGAAGACUAAAUAUAAAAGCCAAACUUUGGUUUUAGAAAGUGGCGGCUUUACUUUUGUUUUUAAUCCUUUUCGUGAGAGGAUUUAGAGCAUUAUAAAAGGAGAGCUGCCAGAGAGCAAAAGAGGAGAAUCGGGAGAAGAGAAGAGCAGCAGUUGCAGGUUUGGAGCAAAACUGAUCCAAUUCAGCAAGAAGAAGAAUUCGGGUAGCAAGAGAAAAAUCAACAGCUGGAAUUAAAUUGAAGAAAAAGGCAGCCGCUUAAAUUAAUCUCCAUGAUUGGUUUUGUCAAUUCUCUUAUUCCUAAUUUAAUUAUGUUAGGCUAAAUUUUUAUUUGGUUGAGGGUGAAUUCAAAACCCUAAACAUGCUAUGCAAUUAAAUUUAAAUUCUAUCAUUUAAUUUAUUUAAUUGAGAUUGUUUAUGUUCUUCUAUAAUUAAUGUUCAUGGUUUAUUCUUGUUUUAUUUGAGUGGCCAAUUAGAUAGGACUUGAAUAAAUAUUAUUGCUAGAUUAAAAUUCUUGAUCCGUAAUUGUCUUGAUAUUUUAAUCAUUAGUAGCAGGUUGGAAUUAAUGAUUUCAAUUGGAGAACAUAACCUAGGUUAAAUAAUCCGAGCUUGUGUGUUUAUUGCCUAGAUCAACCUAAUAUCUUUCUUUGUUUAAUGCUUCCAUUAUCUUAAAUUUAAAGAGCUUAUUUUAAAUUAUUUAAUGGUUAGAGAUUAGGUGAAAAGCUUGUUUUACCUAACGACACACUAAGGAAAGAUUGAGACUAACAGAGCUUAUUGUUGUCUACGGUUGAUAGUUUCAAUAUAAAUUGAUGAUAGAAUUAAUAUAUUAUGUGCAUGUUUGGUGGUGGCGAAUGAUCCUUUAACCAAAGUUUUCAUCAUUAUUAUUUCUUUCUCCUUUAAUUAGAGUUUUUAUUAAAUUCUUGUUCGUAAUUUUAAUUUCUUUAUUUCUUACUAUUUAGUUAAAAAUUCAUAAAUCCCCCUUUUAUUUUUAAUUGGCAUUUUCUUUAGUUAGAUUAAUUUAUAUUAUUAUUACUAUUACUAUUAUUACUAUUAUUACUAUUAUUUUAUUUUAAAUCUUGCUUUGGAGUUAAUAAUAAAUAUAACUAGCAUAGUCUCUGUGGGAUCGAUCCUUACUCGCUCUGUACUAAUUAUUUAUAUUAGUGGUAAGGUUUUAAAUUUGGUGCACCUUAACGACACUACCAACAUGCAAAAUAAACUUGAAACAUCUACCUAUUAAAUUGAUAUUUUAGCCAAAA
Molecule: long non-coding RNA, 3304 nt
Filed under: Citrus x clementina
Lineage: Eukaryota; Viridiplantae; Streptophyta; Magnoliopsida; Sapindales; Rutaceae
Description: Citrus clementina (C. clementina) long non-coding RNA (CCLE_LNC006689)
Source: RNAcentral